GAUGAACGCUGGCGGCGUGCCUAAUACAUGCAAGUCGAGCGAACAGACGAGGAGCUUGCUCCUCUGACGUUAGCGGCGGACGGGUGAGUAACACGUGGAUAACCUACCUAUAAGACUGGGAUAACUUCGGGAAACCGGAGCUAAUACCGGAUAAUAUAUUGAACCGCAUGGUUCAAUGGUGAAAGACGGUUUUGCUGUCACUUAUAGAUGGAUCCGCGCCGCAUUAGCUAGUUGGUAAGGUAACGGCUUACCAAGGCAACGAUGCGUAGCCGACCUGAGAGGGUGGUCGGCCACACUGGAACUGAGACACGGUCCAGACUCCUACGGGAGGCAGCAGUAGGGAAUCUUCCGCAAUAGGCGAAAGCCUGACGGAGCAACGCCGCGUGAGUGAUGAAGGUCUUCGGAUCGUAAAACUCUGUUAUUAGGGAAGAACAAAUGUGUAAGUAACUAUGCACGUCUUGACGGUACCUAAUCAGAAAGCCACGGCUAACUACGUG
This 497-nucleotide ribosomal RNA is filed under the name uncultured bacterium. RNAcentral's name for it is "partial 16S ribosomal RNA". It matches the Rfam family "Bacterial small subunit ribosomal RNA", at positions 28 to 507 of the family's 1533-position model. The record is from RNAcentral.